This 229-nucleotide ribosomal RNA is filed under the name uncultured bacterium. Its description in RNAcentral is "partial 16S ribosomal RNA". It matches the Rfam family "Bacterial small subunit ribosomal RNA", at positions 568 to 796 of the family's 1533-position model. The record is from RNAcentral.
UCCAUAGGCGGGCAAUUAAGUCAGAGGUGAAAUCCCACAGCUCAACUGUGGAACUGCCUUUGAUACUGGUUGUCUUGAGUUACAGUGAAGUAGAUAGAAUAUGUAGUGUAGCGGUGAAAUGCAUAGAUAUUACAUAGAAUACCGAUUGCGAAGGCAGUCUACUAACUGUAUACUGACGCUAAUGGACGAAAGCGUGGGGAGCGAACAGGAUUAGAUACCCUGGUAGUCC